RNAcentral lists this non-coding RNA (221 nucleotides) under Cupriavidus sp. UYMMa02A. Its description in RNAcentral is "partial 23S ribosomal RNA". It matches the Rfam family "Bacterial large subunit ribosomal RNA", at positions 1783 to 2015 of the family's 2925-position model. Lineage: Bacteria; Pseudomonadati; Pseudomonadota; Betaproteobacteria; Burkholderiales; Burkholderiaceae. The record is from RNAcentral.
AAAUGGUGGCUGCGACUGUUUAAUAAAAACACAGCACUCUGCAAACACGAAAGUGGACGUAUAGGGUGUGACGCCUGCCCGGUGCCGGAAGAUUAAUGAUGGGGUGCAAGCUCUUGAUUGAAGUCCCGGUAAACGGCGGCCGUAACUAUAACGGUCCUAAGGUAGCGAAAUUCCUUGUCGGGUAAGUUCCGACCUGCACGAAUGGCGUAACGAUGGCCACA